RNAcentral lists this ribosomal RNA (691 nucleotides) under uncultured bacterium. RNAcentral describes it as "bacterial SSU rRNA". It matches the Rfam family "Bacterial small subunit ribosomal RNA", at positions 8 to 744 of the family's 1533-position model. The record is from RNAcentral.
AGAGUUUGAUCCUGGCUCAGGAUGAACGCUGGCGGUCUGCUUAACACAUGCAAGUCGAACGCAACCUUCGGGUUGAGUGGCGGACGGGUGAGUAACGCGUGAGAAUCUGCCUUAGGGUCGGGGACAACCACUGGAAACGGUGGCUAAUACCGGAUAAGCCGAUUGGUGAAAGAUUUAUUGCCCGAAGAGGAGCUCGCGUCUGAUUAGCUAGUUGGUGAGGUAAGAGCUCACCAAGGCAGCGAUCAGUAGCUGGUCUGAGAGGACGAUCAGCCACACUGGGACUGAGACACGGCCCAGACUCCUACGGGAGGCAGCAGUGGGGAAUUUUCCGCAAUGGGCGAAAGCCUGACGGAGCAAGACCGCGUGAGGGAGGAAGGCUCUUGGGUUGUAAACCUCUUUUCUCAGGGAAGAAGCUCUGACGGUACCUGAGGAAUCAGCCUCGGCUAACUCCGUGCCAGCAGCCGCGGUAAUACGGAGGAGGCAAGCGUUAUCCGGAAUUAUUGGGCGUAAAGCGUCCGCAGGUGGCGAUUCAAGUCUGCUGUCAAAGCACGGGGCUUAACUCCGUUAAGGCAGUGGAAACUGAAUAGCUAGAGUGCCGUAGGGGUAGAGGGAAUUCCCGGUGUAGCGGUGAAAUGCGUAGAGAUCGGGAAGAACAUCGGUGGCGAAAGCGCUCUACUGGACGGCAACUGAC